Molecule: ribosomal RNA, 253 nt
Filed under: uncultured bacterium
Lineage: Bacteria
Description: partial 16S ribosomal RNA
Rfam family: Bacterial small subunit ribosomal RNA
Source: RNAcentral
UACAGAGGGUGCGAGCGUUAAUCGGAAUUACUGGGCGUAAAGCGUGCGUAGUCGGUUAUUUAAGUCGGAUGUGAAAUCCCCGGGCUCAACCUGGGAAUUGCAUUCGAUACUGGAUAGCUAGAGUUCGGCAGAGGGAAGCGGAAUUUCGGGUGUAGCGGUGAAAUGCGUAGGUAUCUGGAGGAACACCGGUGGCGAAGGCGGCGUUCUGGACUGUUUCUGACACUGUAAAACGAAAGCCAGGGGAGCAAACGGG